UUUAAGCAUCAUCCAUUAGUCAUAGCAGUUAUAUUACAGUGGAAACUGAAAAGUACUUUUUUUUAGUGUCAGGAUUAAUUAAUUAAUAAUUCAAGCAUGUGUUAGAAAACACUCAUUUUCUUAUAUCGCUAAUUAUACAAGACCCAAGAAUUAUUGCCUUCAUACAUUAUUUUAGCCAUCUACCUGCAGAGGGGAAAGCUGCUGUGUUUUCACUGCUUAGCAUGUGGGAAUUUAGUGAUCUUCUCUUCCAAUAUGUUAUGUCUGCAGAUUAGAAGAGACACAGGCUCAUUCCUGGCCAGGAAGCUGCUGGCUCCAUUCUCAUUAUGGCAGAUUGAUCAGUUUAUACUGAUUACAGGAAAUGGCUGUUAACUGGGUGAAUAAAUAACACAACUUGUGAGCAGGGUUUAUCUUAAAAUUUAUUAUUCCUUUCUUCAAAAAUGAUCAUGUAGAAAAUCAGAGGAGGGACCAUAGUGUUCCGUUUGAUGGCAGAAAGAUUUUCUUCAUUUCCAAUAAUGGCAGAUGUUCAUUUCCCAGUUUACACAGAGGGAAAAGUAAGCCUUUGUCUGUCCCUUUGAAGUUUCUCCCACAGACAUGUUAUAUCCCAGCUAAUAUUAACAGCCCUUAGUGCCAUCAAGUAACUAGUGUGUCAUUUUGAGAAGGAGUGAUAGGUGGGUAUUAAAACCACAGAAAAGCUGCACAUUACCUGGGCUGCAGAGGGACAGAAUGUAUCCUGCACAUGCUUGGGACACUCAGGACUUUACAAGAAGGCUGUUUUGAUUUGGGGAACACGUCCCACACCUUGGGAAUUUGCCGCUCACUUCACCAAGAGAUGGGGAAAGACUGGUGAGAAAUGGAAGUGCAAGUUCACACAUUGCAGUUUUCUAUCUUGAAAGCAACCUAUUCCACUGACCACACUCUCUCUGCUCAUUUGGGAAAGAAAGUUUAGUGGCCUGCACCGGACAAGAAUAUUUUAUUAUCUUUAUUUUCUUCUCACAUGUAAAAAUAAAUUAGGUAACUAAACUUUUUGCAUUCGAGCCAUUCUCACUUCUCUAUAUUUUAACAUUGUUGUGCUCCUUUACUCCAUUUCCAGUCUCAUUCAUAAGAAACCAGGGGUUUGAAUCAUAUUAGAAUUAUUUGCUUUGCCAAGAGCAUGAUUAAAGUCUGAAACAAAACGAAAUUUAAUUUUAGUAUCACUGUGUGUGUAGAGUAAAUAUGUUGUUUACAGUAAAGUUUUCACCUCCAUUUGCUUUUGGUGCUUAUUAUAACUUAAUAAGUUUUUUAUUCAGUUUGUAAAGUGCCCCUUUUUAGCCUCUAGCUGCUGGGUGACACCAUCUGUGAUUUCCAGUGAAAUUAAAUUAAGUGAAAAUUCAAUCAGCAAGAAGAUUGUUGCUUCCACAACUUCACUGAGUGGCUUGGGAUCAUAUAUAAGUGACAUGUCUUUCACACAGGAAGCACAACUGCUGUGUGAGCCAGUUUAACUUAAAGGAGGAGAUUUCCCAGAGAAUGGAGUAGCUAACAUGCUAUUUCCAGUGUAUCAUGCCCAGUUUAAUUAAUGAUUAAUUAUCAUUAAUGACCCUAGCUCAGCCCUUCUUGGCAACAGGCAUUCAGGGUGACCUCUCCAUUAUUCUUCAAUAAGAAGCCUGUCUCCAGGUCCAUCUUUAUUAUGUCCCCAUGCUCUGAGAGCACAGGAGUCAUUACCUGGGCAGUCCCCUGCAUGCAAGCAGGGACCUUCCAGCUGAGGUAGGUUGUGCACAGUAAUGUGCUGAGUAGAGGGUAGAAACAUUCUGCUUAGAGACUGGAGCAUGGACAACACGACACAUUUGUUAGUCUUAAUGUGCCUGAAAUGACUGGUAGGAUCCGAGGUGCAAGAACAAGGAAAUAAGGGAAUUACAAAAAACAAAAAAAAAAAAAAAGCUGGAGGAAUUAAGAAAAGAAAAAGAUCUUUUCACACUUGCCAUUCUCUCUUUUUUCUUUGUGCUGAGAUGCACUUCAUUAUUUUCUCCUUUCACAUAACCAUAUUAUAAUCUUUUCUUUUACCAGUUCAUAACAGGAAGCAUAAUGACUGAGUUCAACAAAAUACCAGUAAAAACAUCCCUUGGGAAACAGUUAAGUGGUCAAAGCUUGGAAAUGUGGUUUCUGCUACUGUAUUUGCACUGACAUUUUGCUCACCUCCCCACACACUUUUGUGAACAUAUCUAAAUAAAAGGUAAAAACUAAUUCCCCUUCCACUGUAGUUCCCUUUGGGGCAGAAAGAUGUGUAUUUUUCACAACAUAAUUUUUAGAGGAUUUUCCAAUAGGACUUUACACUAUCCACGGCCUAGAUGACUCAUAGUGUAGUUACCAAAGAAUAGAAGUAGUGAUUUCCACCACAGUGGUGAGCUAAUUUAAUAAUGGACACAAAUGAUAACUUACAGUACCAGAACAUCAGAGUAUAUGACAAUAAUCCCUGCACUUCCCAGCAAACACUUUGAAAAAGUGGAGAUCAAUGUCUAAUAGUAUCAGUUAUUAUUAGUAUCCUCCCGACACAUCCAGGAUUUUUUCAUCUUCUUUACUACAAAAAUGAGGUCACUUUGAGAAUAUAUUGGCAGAGAAACUUUACAAGAAAACUUGGAGGCUUAGAUGCUUGAGUUUUUAUACUAGAAUAACUUUCUAUCAUUUAACCAUGAAGUCUGCAGAAUCCCUUCCAAAGAACGUGCUGUCCUCAGCUCAGGGAAUGUGGACUACAGAAAGACUUAACUGAUGGCAAUGCAAUUCAUUUUUCAUUUUUUAUCAGUGUCUACAAAUUUAGUUUCCAGGUGGACCAUGUGGUCUCUUGCACAUCCCCUUGAACGUGAUAGUAAAGUGGGUAAACCAUUUGAUGAAGGUUAGCAGGGUCAAAAAGAAAAGAAAGAGCAAAGAAUAAGACAUCAAUGCAAAUCCUUUAUACCUGAAUGUUGUUUUAUAGUUCUACCCCGGUCACUUAGCCUAAGUUAGGAGUUUUCAGUGCAAUCUGUGGAAAAAGAGGUGUGUGUGUGUGUAAGCAAAACAAUAGGUGUCACCAGGUGUCACUAUUACGUGGGCUCUUUUCUUUCUGUGUGAGCAAACAGCCAGUUUGAGGGAGAUAAUACUGUGUUAUUAGUUCAUGCUUAAGCAUUUGGUAUAGAGCCAUCAAUGUAGGUAGAAAAGGCUCCACAAGUGCAGGAGAACUUGCUCUCUUCUCUGGGCUGGUGUCAUGAACAUCAUUUAUCACUGGGAACAGCGAGAGCCACUGGGCUGAGGUUCCUGCUAGGGAGAAUUGCCCCAAGUACUGUUGUAGCAUCUCUGUUCUGGAAUUAAUGUGAAUAUGUAUAAAUAAAACAAGAUGCAUUGUAAUGUCUCCUGGAAACACCUCACUGCAUCUUCUUCACUGACAAAUUGCCUGUAGAAGCCUGAUCAUCUGCUGCUAUCUAGCAGAAGAUAGAUGUGGUACUGAAACAAGGUGCACCACUCAUGUGUGUUUGCUUUACAGUGUUAGUGCAUUAUAUAUCAAACAGAGAAAAAAAGUGUAAAUAUUUGGAGAAGAAAUGGUAGAUGACUGUGGACUUGCUUUGACUAUAAAACUGAAGACAUGGACUUACCUGAACAAAGAACACAUUUAAAGCUGCAUCUGAAGCAGCAAUGUACCUUUCUCAGAGGAUACCAUCUGACUUCCCUCAGUGUCUUGCAUUUUAGAAAUCCUAAUUGAUGCGUGGGUAGUGCACUGAAUGACUCUCGGACUUGACCGAGGCUGUAGCUUUAUGACAAAUCCCACUCCCAUUCACAAGCAGCUUGCAAAGAGCCCACUUCUAUCUUGCCCAGGGUGGGAAAGGCACAGGCAAGCACAGAGGAGAGUUGGGAUGUCUGCUGAAGGAAACAAUAUUGCCCAGCAAUCCCAUGGGACAGGCAGUAGCCUAGGCUGGUAUUUGCAUACCACCAUGGAAGCAGCUGGUAUAGCUGCAAAUAUUUGAUCUGAAGUGAGGUCAGUUAGUUUUGAGGAAGCUUUACUUUCAGCCUGCCUGGUGGCCACAGGGUGAUAAGGAAACGCUCCUCUCUGGGCCCCAGGGACUGAGCUCUGCAGAGAAAGCACUGAAAUACACCAGGGUGGGAGACACAAGCAUGGCACAGAUCUGGUGAGUCUCUUCAGCAUUUUCUCAGACCAUCAUAUCAAGUCCAGCGCUCACACACACACCAGCAUCUGAGGAGACCCCUGCUGUCUUCUGAGGACACCCCGGUGAAUAACUUGCAAAACUGCUACAGCCAAGAGUUUCAAACAGCUGCUCAAGCCCUUCAGAAAAACAAAGCUCUGAAAUCAUUAACACUUGUGAUGUGCUCCCAUCUUGAAACAGAAAAUUAGUCCCCUUCAGCAGCUAACGACCCAGGGAAUACACAAAUUGCUGCCUGUGCCUCUGCCUCUGGUGCCUGUUGGGCUGAUGAAGAUCGUGUAAUUCUGGCUGUAAAUUCUUGCGUUUAAGUUGGUCCAAUAAAAGAUCUCUCCUACACCUCAUGAGGGUUUGGUGCUUUAUUUUUUUUUUUAACGGGACUGGCGUGGCAGCCGCGGUGGUUGCCUUUUUGGUUUUGGUGGUUUUUUUUUUUUCUUCUUCUUCUUUUUCUUCCUCUCGUUCUCAUCUGAAAUUAUGCAGAUAGAUGAUUAUUUUGAGUUUUUUCC
Long non-coding RNA from Pseudopipra pipra, 4663 nucleotides. RefSeq lists it as uncharacterized. The transcript has 4 exons. NCBI's taxonomy places the organism in Eukaryota, Metazoa, Chordata, Aves, Passeriformes, Pipridae. The record is from RefSeq and is a predicted model, not a curated record.